UAUAAUGGCUUGGAAUUGUAUGUUAAGGCUUGAGCAAUAUAUGACUUUAUCAAGAAUUCCCUUAUGUAAUAGUUGAAAUCAGAAUUGCAAUAAGUUGUUGAGAAUUUUAGUGUUAUUUUCUAUGAUAUAGAUGGCGAGUACAUUGAUGCAGGGUGGCUCAAUGCCUUUAAAAACGAGGCAAUACGCCUUAUGCCCUCAAAUUCGAAGGCUCAAUUUUAGUAAUAAUAAAAUUAUUAUCAACUUGGUACGAUCCGGUUUCUCGAGUUAUGAUGACACCUACUAUAACCAAUCAGUAGGUAAGUCACCUACUAGAACCAACCAGUAGGUAAGUCAAUCCGUACCCAGGACGACAAGUAAUGAGUACAAGGGUAGGAUUAAACAACGUAUAACACCAACAAUAAGAAAAGACAGAAACAGAAGCAAACCAAAAACUAUAUGCAAUGGAAACCCUCCUAGAACGUAGAAAUCACGAGUACAUAGUUGUCUAAUAUGAACAAAUACAAGUGUGGAACUUGGAAUCAAUAAACUAAUUAAACUGAAAUCGAGAUAAUCCUGUUUCGUGAAACAUAAACUCCAAGAAAAGCGGUGUUGGUCGUUUGAAAAUAAUAUGUAUCAUUUAAUAGGUUAUCACCAACGGACACACAAAGUUCGAGCUCAAACAGAGUCGGUCAUACAUAUACUGGAUCCUGAAAUCCUGCUUUGUGACACAAACACUAAAAAGAGUGAUUUCCACCCUGUACAAAAACAAUGAGUAUCAUUUGAUAAGACCCUAAGCUCAGGGGAAUUGGAAACUAUUGUAUCUUUUCUAAAACGACACUAUCCGUUGAUUUCCACGACAAUGUUUGCUUAUUGUCACCAGGGGACCCACAAAGUUUGAGCUCAAACAUAAUUGGACACACAUUUCGAAAAAUUUAUAGAUACACAUGAAAAAGCGAGAAACUCAUGAAUUCCUGUUUCGUGACACAACUCCAAAAAUAAUUCCUAUUUCGUGACACAACUCCAAAAACAUGACUUCCGCCUUUAGAAAAUAAUGAUCAUCAUUUAAUAAGUCAACACCUAUGGACCCACAAAAUUUGAGUUCAAACAGAGUCGGUUGCUGAUCUUUGACGUAUUAUACACUCAAGUGCCGUAUUUUACACAUGUUUUAGCUUAAGUUUCGAGAAUCAACUCAGGUAUAUUCACGUGUUUUGAGCAUUAUUGAUAUGGAUAAGCUAAUAUAUGUGAUUAGACUUUAUGCGGUGAAAGAGUUAGGUAAUUGAAAAUACAAUUUCAAAAAGAAAAAAAAACUUGUUUUAUAUGUUAAUUACAGUAAUAUAAAUUAAUCAUAAUAUAAAAAGUUAAUUAGGAGGAAAUUAAUUAGUGAUCACGAUUCACGAGUGAGAUUCCUGUAUUUAUCCCAACAUAUAAGUCAAUUAUUUAGUCAACAAUUUAUUGUUGUGACCUUGACUUAAAAUCUUAUCAAUUAAUUUAGAAUGAUGAAAUUGUUGUUAUUUAGUCAAUAAUUAAUUAUCUAGUUAUAUGAAGUUUUAGUUUGUUUGUCAUAAUUCAAAGAGGUUUUUAGAGCAUGAAGUGCACAAAUCAACUUAUAAAAAUGAACAAAUAUAUUAAGCUAAGCAUGAAAACUGAUGCCAUGCUGAAAGAAUUAACGCGGGAAUGAAGUCAAUAAUAAAUAUCCAUAUUCGACCAAUUAGUCGAUAGGGAGUGUAGAGGUUACAUGGAAUAACGAUAGAGAAUAUUGCGCGUUGAACUGCGAAUAUGAUUUGCAUGGCGAAAAAGAGAAAAUUUUAAGUUGUAAGUAUUCUAAUUAACUACUCCCUAAUUACUUGUUCACUUUUUCAUUUUUAGUUGUCUCUAAUUACUCGUCUAUUUUGACAAAUCAAAUCAAGAAAAGAUAAUUUUUUUUUUUAUCUAUUAUAUCCUCAAUUAAAUGAUUAAUUAUUAUAUUAAAAUAAAUUUGCUCUGGUAUUGACUAAUGUCUUCUUCUCAGGUGUAGAAACUUUUGACAUUGAUCUGAAGGAGCAAAAGGUGACCGUGAAGGGCAAUGUUCAACCAGACGCUGUGUCGAAGACUGGAAAGCCAACAUCUUUCUGGGAAGCAGGCGAAUCGGCUCAAACAGAAGCUGUUAGUACAGCUUGAUUGGUGUAUAAUGGCUUGGAAUUGUGUGUUAAGGCUUGAGCAAUAGUUGACUUUAUCAAGAAUUCCCCUAUGUAAUAGUUGAAAUCAGAAUUGCAAUAAGUUGUUGAGAAUUUUAGUGUUAUUUUCUAUGAUAUAGAUGGCGAGUACAUUGAUGUAGGGCGGCUCAAUGCCUUUAAAAACGAGGCAUACGCCUUAUGCCCUCAAAUUUGAAGGCUCAAUUU
This 2357-nucleotide long non-coding RNA is filed under the name Solanum tuberosum (potato). Its description in RNAcentral is "long non-coding RNA (STUB_LNC006021)". The record is from RNAcentral. Lineage: Eukaryota; Viridiplantae; Streptophyta; Magnoliopsida; Solanales; Solanaceae.